AGUGAACGCUGGCGGUAGGCCUAACACAUGCAAGUCGAACGGCAGCACAGUAAGAGCUUGCUCUUACGGGUGGCGAGUGGCGGACGGGUGAGGAAUACAUCGGAAUCUACUUUUUCGUGGGGGAUAACGUAGGGAAACUUACGCUAAUACCGCAUACGACCUACGGGUGAAAGCAGGGGAUCUUCGGACCUUGCGCGAUUGAAUGAGCCGAUGUCGGAUUAGCUAGUUGGCGGGGUAAAGGCCCACCAAGGCGACGAUCCGUAGCUGGUCUGAGAGGAUGGUCAGCCACACUGGAACUGAGACACGGUCCAGACUCCUACAGGAGGCAGCAGUGGGGAAUAUUGGACAAUGGGCGCAAGCCUGAUCCAGCCAUACCGCGUGGGUGAAGAAGGCCUUCGGGUUGUAAAGCCCUUUUGUUGGGAAAGAAAAGCAGCAGGUUAAUACCCCGCUGUUCUGACGGUACCCAAAGAAUAAGCACCGGCUAACUUCGUG
Molecule: ribosomal RNA, 492 nt
Filed under: uncultured bacterium
Lineage: Bacteria
Description: partial 16S ribosomal RNA
Rfam family: Bacterial small subunit ribosomal RNA
Source: RNAcentral